This 274-nucleotide ribosomal RNA is filed under the name uncultured bacterium. RNAcentral's name for it is "partial 16S ribosomal RNA". It matches the Rfam family "Bacterial small subunit ribosomal RNA", at positions 523 to 796 of the family's 1533-position model. The record is from RNAcentral.
AUACGGAGGGUGCAAGCGUUACUCGGAAUCACUGGGCGUAAAGCGCGCGCAGGCGGCUAUUUAAGUUGGAUGUGAAAGCCUACGGCUCAACCGUAGAACUGCAUCCAAAACUAUUUAGCUAGAGUGUGGGAGAGGAAGAUGGAAUUAGUUGUGUAGGGGUAAAAUCCGUAGAGAUAACUAGGAAUACCAAAAGCGAAGGCAAUCUUCUGGAACACUACUGACGCUGAGAUGCGAAAGCGUGGGGAGCGAACAGGAUUAGAAACCCUAGUAGUCC